RNAcentral lists this ribosomal RNA (400 nucleotides) under uncultured bacterium. RNAcentral's name for it is "partial 16S ribosomal RNA". It matches the Rfam family "Bacterial small subunit ribosomal RNA", at positions 28 to 526 of the family's 1533-position model. The record is from RNAcentral.
GACGAACGCUGGCGGCGUGCCUAAUACAUGCAAGUCGAACGCAGUGGGGACGGGUGAGUAACACGUGGGUAACCUCCCAUCAGAGGGGAUAACACUUGGAAACAGGUGCUAAACCGAUACUGAUGGAUGGACCCGCGGUGCAUUAGCUAGUUGGUGAGGUAACGGCUCUCCAAGGCGAAGAUGCAUAGCCUACCGGAGAUGAUGAUCGGCCACACUGGUACGGCGACACGGCCCAGACUCCUACGGGAGGCAGCAGUAGGGAAUCUUCGGCAAUGGACGAAAGUCUGACCGAGCGACGCGGCGUGAGUGAAGAAGGUUUUCGGAUCGUAAAACUCUGUUGUUAGAGAAGCGGUAUCUAACCAGAAAGCCACGGCUAACUACGUGCCAGCCGCGGUAAUUC